GCAUCGAUGGUUCAGUGGUAAAAUGCUCCACGCGGUAGGUCCGGGUUCGAUUCCCGGCCGAUGCA
Molecule: non-coding RNA, 65 nt
Organism: Cordylochernes scorpioides
Lineage: Eukaryota; Metazoa; Arthropoda; Arachnida; Pseudoscorpiones; Chernetidae
Source: the annotation of a GenBank genome assembly